GCAAAUGUCAGUCAAUGUAACCUGUCUAUACUGUGUUAUUUGAGGUUUAGGAUAGAUACCUAUGAUUCUCCAUUUAGGCCAACCUCUUCCUGCUCUCAUGACCCCCCUCUUCCAUUGGCUGGGGAUCUGGGGGGGAAGGAUUUAGCACUAUCACAUUUUCUUGUCAACAGAAAAAACGUCAGAAAGCAAAUUCAGUUGAUGUGGAGCAGAAGACAAGAAAGAAGAAGGAGAGGGGCACUUCAUCCCCCUCUCCAAUUCCAUCUGACCGUUCUGAACGGAAUGGCUCCGCUACCUCUGACCCCUCACCCUCUGACCAACUCUCCUCCCUCCAUCCACCUCCCUCUCCUGUUAAAUGUUCCUCUCAGCCUUGCUCUCCUGCUAAACAACCCUCUGUACCCCGGUCACCUGCCAAAAACCCUUCCCCAGUGAAAUCCUCUCCAGUGGUGUCCCACCCUAGUUCUCCCUCUCCUACCAACCCUCUGGACCGUCAUGGAGACACCAGUCAGGAGGGCACAACAGUCAGACCUCUGUCUCUUCAGGACCACUCCAGUCCAAGGCCCCAGAGACCAGUCUCAGCCACCAGAAGCAUGACUCUUCCCAGGGCCAGCUCAGCCACCAGAGGGUCAGAAGAGACCCAGGGGGCCAGAGGAGAACAGGUGGCACUGGUCAACAUGGAACUUCUUGGGUUGCCUAACAUUGGCAACACUUGCUUCCUUAACGCCACCCUGCAGUGCCUCCUGGUCCUGCCUUCCUUCUCAAAGGAAAUCCUGCACCAGGAACAACUCUGGAGCUCCUCCCCCCUUCUCCAACCUGCUCAGGAGUCUGUCUGAUGUGCACCGUUCAGGUUUACCUGACAGUGUGGAAAACCAGGCCUCAAAAGCAGACCUCAUGUGGAAGGUCAAGUACUCCUUGUCGGGAUACGAUUUGAAGUAUCUGGGGGACACGCAACAGGAUGCACACGAGUUACUUGUCAAUAUGCUGUGCCAGCUGAAGGAGGAGGGCAUGAUUCUGAAGACACUCGGGAUGAACUAUACCUGCCCUGUUUCCCAGCUGGAGUUCCAGCUUGUGUCGGUGCGCACAUGUACCAGCUGUGGCCGCGAGUCGUCCGCCAGAGAGGACUACAACCACCUCUCAUUGGACUUCAGCCCUGAGCGCACCUUGCUGAACAGCCUAGCACUCACUUUCAAAAGUGAACAGGUUGAAUUCACAUGUGAGGGCUGUAAAGGCCUCCACGCCUCAAAGGUGGAGCAGUUCCACACACUGCCUCUUGUGCUGGUUUUGCACCUGAAGAGGUUUGGAGGACCUGGGGGGUUGGAGAAGCUGGAGGCUCCUCUUUUGUUUCCUUCGGAGCUGAGGCUCUCCACCCUCUGUGGGGACAUGGUGCCACACCUGCACAGUGCCAGCCCACAGGCCCUCACCAACCAGGCCCCCAGCAUCCAGGGGUCCAUCCCCCAGACCCUCGCCAGCCAAGUCUCCAGCCCACCUGGAGCGUCCAAAGACAGCGCCCUCUGCUGUUCAGAAGCAGAAGCCAGUACAGUCAGUGAAUGGUUACUACCAGCUGACUGGCGUAGUCUCUCAUUUGGGAGGCUCCGCAAACUCCGGGCACUACAUUAGUGACAUAUUGCAUGCCAGUGGAAACUGGUUCUGCUGUAACGACAGCCAGGUGUCAAUGUCCAAUGAAGCCACUGUGCUGAGGACCAGAGCCCGGAGUGCCUACAUGCUCUUCUAUAUGUUCAGGGCAAUAGAGCGGGAGGCCCCAGCACACAGGGCCUAACAGGGCCACCAGCAUCAGCCCCAGCCUAAACAGGGGCAGCACCUGGACCAGUCUCAAAACCCCCAGCCCAGCAACAGGGGCAGCACUUGGCCCAACAUCAACACACCCAGCCCAGCCUCAACAUGGGAAGAACCAGGCCCAGUCUCAACAUGGGCAGAAUAAGACCCAGCCCCAACACCCACAGACCUGCCUCAACAGGUGCAGCAUUCAGCCCAACUUCAAUCAUGCUGCUCUUCAACACGAGCAUGAACAUUCUUUCAGUAGCUUAUGUCAUAAAUAUCUGCCCUUGAUUUGACUACUUCACCUAAUGUAUAAAGCGUAUCAAGUAUACACACUAAAUGUAGUACACAUGUAGAUGUGGUGGAUAGAGAGUGUGAUUAUUUAGAGGAUAUAACAUCCCUUCUAUUUGGUUUGGUUUGAAAUCCUCCUGUUGUGAAAUACACUGUGGUGUCUAACCUCUUAUUCAGCAUGGUCACACCGGAAGACCUGCAAUAUUAAUAAAGACAAGCAAAUGUAAGACAAUCCCAUUUAAGAUGAUUCUGUUGACCGUUGUAACUCUUUAACUCAGGAAGAUUUAUCGUCUGGGAUUCAGGCCGGUCCUAACAGGAAACGUGACAAAGGGAAGCAGCUGUAAUGGAGCCUUCUAACACCCAAUCAGGUCUGGAGGAGGAAUGUCACAUAAAGAUUCAGAGAUGCUAUGAGAAUCUUUUGAAGUUACUCUCCAGUUGUAUCCAUUUGAAUAAAUACAGACAUGAAAAUGCUGGGCUUUGGAUGUGACCUUGGUUCUGUGAGUAGAGUAACGGGUCACCAAACGACCUAUGGGAACUCCUUCCCUUUAUCGUGAUGUGAUUGAGAUGCUUAAUAUCAACGAUGUUUACAAUGACGCCACACCCUUACUGUACCAUUGUGACCUGUCACUAUUAAAGGCUGUGUGACGUGACAUACUGUCUUUUCUUAUCUCC
Oncorhynchus gorbuscha (pink salmon) is the source of this 2736-nucleotide RNA transcript. It is a transcript of the gene named ubiquitin carboxyl-terminal hydrolase 37-like, with no coding region annotated. The record is from RefSeq and is a predicted model, not a curated record. NCBI's taxonomy places the organism in Eukaryota, Metazoa, Chordata, Actinopteri, Salmoniformes, Salmonidae. The transcript has 11 exons.